This 253-nucleotide ribosomal RNA is filed under the name uncultured bacterium. RNAcentral's name for it is "partial 16S ribosomal RNA". It matches the Rfam family "Bacterial small subunit ribosomal RNA", at positions 524 to 776 of the family's 1533-position model. The record is from RNAcentral.
GACAGAGGUGCCGAGCGUUAGGCGGAAUCACUGGGCUUAAAGCGUGUGUAGGCGGAUCGUUAAGUGUCUUGUGAAAUCCCACGGCUCACCCGUGGAACUGCUGGGCAUACUGGCGAUCUUGGGCCAACUAGGGGCAACUGGAACAAGCGGUGGAGCGGUGAAAUGCGUAGAUAUCGCUUGGAACGCCGAAGGUGAAAACAGGUUGCUGGGGUUGUGCCGACGCUGAGACACGAAAGCCAGGGGAGCAAACGGG